This 973-nucleotide ribosomal RNA is filed under the name uncultured organism. Its description in RNAcentral is "bacterial SSU rRNA". It matches the Rfam family "Bacterial small subunit ribosomal RNA", at positions 13 to 1030 of the family's 1533-position model. The record is from RNAcentral.
UUGAUCCUGGCUCAGGAUGAACGCUGGCGGUCUGCUUAACACAUGCAAGUCGAACGCAACCUUCGGGUUGAGUGGCGGACGGGUGAGUAACGCGUGAGAAUCUGCCUUGGGGUCGGGGACAACCACUGGAAACGGUGGCUAAUACCGGAUAAGCCUUUGGGUAAAAAAUUUAUUGCCCCAAGAGGAGCUCGCGUCUGAUUAGCUAGUUGGUGAGGUAAAAGCUCACCAAGGCAGCGAUCAGUAGCUGGUCUGAGAGGACGAUCAGCCACACUGGGACUGAGACACGGCCCAGACUCCUACGGGAGGCAGCAGUGGGGAAUUUUCCGCAAUGGGCGAAAGCCUGACGGAGCAAGACCGCGUGAGGGAGGAAGGCUCUUGGGUUGUAAACCUCUUUUCUCAGGGAAGAAGCUCUGACGGUACCUGAGGAAUCAGCCUCGGCUAACUCCGUGCCAGCAGCCGCGGUAAUACGGAGGAGGCAAGCGUUAUCCGGAAUUAUUGGGCGUAAAGCGUCCGCAGGUGGCGAUUCAAGUCUGCUGUCAAAGCACGGGGCUUAACUCCGUUAAGGCAGUGGAAACUGAAUAGCUAGAGUGCCGUAGGGGUAGAGGGAAUUCCCGGUGUAGCGGUGAAAUGCGUAGAGAUCGGGAAGAACAUCGGUGGCGAAAGCGCUCUACUGGACGGCAACUGACACUCAGGGACGAAAGCUAGGGGAGCGAAUGGGAUUAGAUACCCCAGUAGUCCUAGCUGUAAACGAUGGAUACUAGGUGUAGCUUGUAUCGACCCGAGCUGUGCCGAAGCUAACGCGUUAAGUAUCCCGCCUGGGGAGUACGCACGCAAGUGUGAAACUCAAAGGAAUUGACGGGGGCCCGCACAAGCGGUGGAGUAUGUGGUUUAAUUCGAUGCAACGCGAAGAACCUUACCAGGGCUUGACCUGUCCGGAAUCCCGGUGACAGCUGGGAGUGCCUUCGGGAGCCGG